Molecule: non-coding RNA, 261 nt
Filed under: Bacillus sp. (in: firmicutes)
Lineage: Bacteria; Bacillati; Bacillota; Bacilli; Caryophanales; Bacillaceae
Description: Bacillus sp. T-box sequence
Rfam family: T-box leader
About the family: Uncharged tRNA acts as the effector for transcription antitermination of genes in the T-box leader family. T-boxes are found upstream of many aminoacyl-tRNA synthetase genes and some amino acid biosynthetic genes usually in Gram-positive bacteria.
Source: RNAcentral
UUAAAAGCAUUGAUGAGAAAUAGUAAAAGUAUUAAGUUCUUAAACAGAGAGUUCCCGGUUGGUGCGAGGGGCGUAAGACAAUAUUUUGAACACAUCUCUGAGCUGAGCACCGAACCCUUUUUGGUAGUAGACUGUUUCCGGAUUCCCUGCACCCGUUAUCGUGCUAGAGUAUAGCUUAAUUGCUGCACUUGAAGAGGUUGGUAUCGUGAGGUAUCAAUAAAAUAGAGGUGGAACCACGUGAGUAUUACUCCCGUCCUCUAG